RNAcentral lists this long non-coding RNA (961 nucleotides) under Struthio camelus australis. RNAcentral describes it as "lncRNA (ENSSCUG00000005587.1)". Lineage: Eukaryota; Metazoa; Chordata; Aves; Struthioniformes; Struthionidae. The record is from RNAcentral.
ACAAGGAGGUCCCAGUGCCGAUGCACGGGGAGGCGGAUGCACAGGGAGGUCCCGGUGCCGGUGCACGACGAGGUGGGUGCACGACGAGGCUGAUGCACGAGGAGGCCCCGGUCCUGGUGCACGAGAGCGGCCGGUGCAAGGCGAGCUGGUGCACGGGGAGGCUGAUGCACAAGGAAGUCCCAGUGCCAAUGCACGAGGCAGCUGAUGCACGAGGAGGCAGGUGCACGAGGAGGCUGGUGCACGGGGACCAUCCUGCUUCCGGUGCACGUGGCUGCUGCUGCACGGAGAGUCCAGUGCACGGGGAAUCCUGUGCACGAGGAGGCCAGUGCACGGGGAGGUGAUGCCUCCUGGUGCACGGGGACACCGGUGCAUGGGGAGAUGUUGCACGGGCAAUCCGGUGCACGGAGAGUCCGGUGCACGGGGAGAUGAUGCACGGGGACCAUUUGCUCCCGGUGCACGGGGAAUCCGGUGCACAGAGUCCGGUGCACGGGGAGAUGUUGCACAGGGACCGUCUGGCUCUCGUUGCACAGGGAAUCCGGUGCACGGAGAGUCCGGUGCACGGGGAGAUGAUGCACGGGGAAUCUGGUGCAUGGAGAGUCUGGUGCACGGGGAGGUGAUGCACAGGGACCGUCCAGCUCCUGGUGCACAGGGACGCUGGUCCAUGGGGAGGCCGGUGCACGGGGAGCUGUUGCACGGGGACCAUCUGGCUCCUGGUGCACGGAGAGUCCGGUGCACGGAGAGACGAUGCACAGGGGCCCAUCCACCUCCUGGUGCACGGGGACGCUGGUGCACGGGGAGAUGUUGCACGGGGAAUCUGGUGCACGGAGAGUCCGGUGCACGGGGAGGUGCUGCACGGGGACUGUCCGACUCCCGUUGCACGAGGACGCCGGUGCACGGGGAGACGUUGCACGGGGGAAUCUGGUGCACAGAGAGUCCGGCGCCCGGGGAGCCGCUGCACCGG